CCUCUAUGCCAUAGAUUCCUUUCAUCGAUUGGAUUUUGAUCAAUUGCAAUUGCAUGUUGUUCUUGCCCUUAGGAAAGUGGUUUCUUUUAUGGUAUGUAGGGAUUGUGCUUAAGAAAGCAAGAGGAGGAGCACGAUCGAAGGAGAAAGACUGGAUGAUCAGAGAGUUUUGCUUCAAGGAGUUUCUAACUAUUUUCCAUUCUUGUUUUCUUAAUUCUGGUACACCGCUGUUGCUUGGUGCUACUUAGUCGUAAAGGAAGCAGUUACAAGUGUAGAGACUUACUUCUAUUAAUUUUUUUUUUCAGUAGCAACAAUACUACCCAGCAACGUGUCGUGGAUGAACACAAGACAAAUUGAAGAAAGUGCAUAGGG
Molecule: long non-coding RNA, 369 nt
Filed under: Linum usitatissimum (flax)
Lineage: Eukaryota; Viridiplantae; Streptophyta; Magnoliopsida; Malpighiales; Linaceae
Description: long non-coding RNA (LUSI_LNC003198)
Source: RNAcentral